RNAcentral lists this ribosomal RNA (494 nucleotides) under uncultured bacterium. Its description in RNAcentral is "partial 16S ribosomal RNA". It matches the Rfam family "Bacterial small subunit ribosomal RNA", at positions 28 to 507 of the family's 1533-position model. The record is from RNAcentral.
GACGAACGCUGGCGGCGCGCUUAACACAUGCAAGUCGAACGGAAAGGCCUGCUUUCCCUUGUGGAUUGCGGGUACUCGAGUGGCGAACGGGUGAGUAACACGUGAGUGAUCUGCCCCCAACUUGGGUAUAAGCCUGGGAAACUGGGUCUAAUUCCCGAUAGGACUGCAGGGUGGUGCCUGUGGUGGAAAACGAUUUUCUAGUGGUUGGGGAUGAGCUCGCGGCCUAUCAGCUUGUUGGUGGGGUAAUGGCCUACCAAGGCGGCGACGGGUAGCCGGCCUGAGAGGGUGGACGGCCACAUUGGGACUGGGAUACGGCCCAGACUCCGACGGGAGGCAGCAGUGGGGAAUAUUGCACAAUGGGCGGAAGCCUGAUGCAGCGACGCCGCGUGGGGGAUGACGGCCUUCGGGUUGUAAGCUCCUUUCGACCGCGAGGAAGCCACCUGGUUGGAAGGGUGGUGACGGUAGUGGUAGAAGAAGCACCGGCUAACUACGUG